AUGCGGAUCAGAUCGCGUGCUUCGUGAGGUAUUGGCAGCUCGCUUCACGUUCAGUCGACACCAAGUCAAUGAAGUCGCCUCGGUUCCGCAACUUCACGGCUCGGACUGACUGGUCAAGGCAAGUCAACGGGUCAAGAUUGGUCAGCAAUAGUCAACUGGUCAAACCUGGUCAACUAUCGGGUCAACGACUCAUCCGAGACUUGGGUGACCUCGGUGUUCCAUCUCCCAUAUCCCUUUUACUCGUC
Molecule: long non-coding RNA, 245 nt
Filed under: Helianthus annuus (common sunflower)
Lineage: Eukaryota; Viridiplantae; Streptophyta; Magnoliopsida; Asterales; Asteraceae
Description: hypothetical non coding rna
Source: RNAcentral